UACGUAGGGAGCAAACGUUGCUCGGAAUCAUUGGGCGUAAAGCGCACGUAGGCGGUUCGUUAUGUCGGAUGUGAAAGCCCUUGGCUUAACCGAGGAAGUGCAUCCGAAACUGGCGAGCUAGAGUACUAAAGAGGAUCGCGGAAUUCCCGAUGUGAGAGGUGAAAUUCGUAGAUAUCGGGAGGAACACCGGUGGCGAAGGCGACACCCUGGACUCAUACUGACACUGAGGUGCGAAAGCGUGGGGAGCAAACAGG
Molecule: ribosomal RNA, 254 nt
Filed under: uncultured bacterium
Lineage: Bacteria
Description: partial 16S ribosomal RNA
Rfam family: Bacterial small subunit ribosomal RNA
Source: RNAcentral